UACGUAGGGUCCGAGCGUUGUCCGGAAUUAUUGGGCGUAAAGAGCUCGUAGGCGGUUUGUCGCGUCUGCCGUGAAAGUCCGGGGCUCAACUCCGGAUCUGCGGUGGGUACGGGCAGACUAGAGUGAUGUAGGGGAGACUGGAAUUCCUGGUGUAGCGGUGAAAUGCGCAGAUAUCAGGAGGAACACCGAUGGCGAAGGCAGGUCUCUGGGCAUUAACUGGCGCUGAGGAGCGAAAGCAUGGGGAGCGAACAGG
This 253-nucleotide ribosomal RNA is filed under the name uncultured bacterium. Its description in RNAcentral is "partial 16S ribosomal RNA". It matches the Rfam family "Bacterial small subunit ribosomal RNA", at positions 524 to 776 of the family's 1533-position model. The record is from RNAcentral.